RNAcentral lists this ribosomal RNA (558 nucleotides) under Triticum aestivum (bread wheat). RNAcentral's name for it is "partial small subunit ribosomal RNA". The record is from RNAcentral. Lineage: Eukaryota; Viridiplantae; Streptophyta; Magnoliopsida; Poales; Poaceae.
GAUGGUGAGAAAAAAGUACAUUGGAUUUCAUGGCAAAAGAUGUGCACCUCGAAAAGGGAUGGAGGUAUUGGCUUCCGCGACCUGAUAGCGUUUAAUCAGGCUCUUCUUGCAAAGCAAGCCUGGCGUGUCUUACAAUACCCGGAGGCGUUAGUGGCAAGAGUGCUCAAGGCUCGCUACUUCAAGGAGGAAUCCAUUUUGAGCGCAACGUGUCCUGCUACAGCCUCAUACACUUACAGAAGUAUUAUGCAUGGCCGGGAUUUACUUCGCGAAGGCCUGGUGUGGAGAAUUGGAGACGGCUCCAAGGUGAAUAUACACCACAGUAACUGCAUCCCAAGAGGCGGGUCCAUGAAGCCGUUGGGACAGACGUAUAUUCCUGGCGUGACGAAGGUGGCCGAUCUCCUGUUGCCUGGAAUCGCGACCGGGUCAGGGAAAUGUUCACCCCGGAUGAUGCUAGCGACAUUUUGCAGAUUGUGGUGGGUGGUUUGGGUGCUGAUGACUACCAAACUUGGAAUUUCACAAAGAAUGGAAUCUUCUCUGUACGCUCAGCUUAUCACUUGA